AGUGAACGCUGGCGGUAGGCCUAACACAUGCAAGUCGAACGGCAGCACAGUAAGAGCUUGCUCUUACGGGUGGCGAGUGGCGGACGGGUGAGGAAUACAUCGGAAUCUACUUUUUCGUGGGGGAUAACGUAGGGAAACUUACGCUAAUACCGCAUACGACCUACGGGUGAAAGCAGGGGAUCUUCGGACCUUGCGCGAUUGAAUGAGCCGAUGUCGGAUUAGCUAGUUGGGGGGGUAAAGGCCCACCAAGGCGCCGAUCCGUAGCUGGUCUGAGAGGAUGAUCAGCCACAUUGGAACUGAGACACGGUCCAGACUCCUACGGGAGGCAGCAGUGGGGAAUAUUGGACAAUGGGCGCAAGCCUGAUCCAGCCAUACCGCGUGGGUGAAGAAGGCCUUCGGGUUGUAAAGCCCUUUUGUUGGGAAAGAAAAGCAGCAGGUUAAUACCCCGCUGUUCUGACGGUACCCAAAGAAUAAGCACCGGCUAACUUCGUG
Molecule: ribosomal RNA, 492 nt
Filed under: uncultured bacterium
Lineage: Bacteria
Description: partial 16S ribosomal RNA
Rfam family: Bacterial small subunit ribosomal RNA
Source: RNAcentral